This 2900-nucleotide ribosomal RNA is filed under the name Klebsiella pneumoniae. RNAcentral's name for it is "bacterial LSU rRNA". It matches the Rfam family "Bacterial large subunit ribosomal RNA". Lineage: Bacteria; Pseudomonadati; Pseudomonadota; Gammaproteobacteria; Enterobacterales; Enterobacteriaceae. RNAcentral also lists the same sequence under 1 other name. The record is from RNAcentral.
UUAAGCGACUAAGCGUACACGGUGGAUGCCCUGGCAGUCAGAGGCGAUGAAGGACGUGCUAAUCUGCGAAAAGCGUCGGUAAGGUGAUAUGAACCGUUAUAACCGGCGAUGUCCGAAUGGGGAAACCCAGUGCAAUUCGUUGCACUAUCGUUAACUGAAUACAUAGGUUAACGAGGCGAACCGGGGGAACUGAAACAUCUAAGUACCCCGAGGAAAAGAAAUCAACCGAGAUUCCCCCAGUAGCGGCGAGCGAACGGGGAGCAGCCCAGAGUCUGAAUCAGCUUGUGUGUUAGUGGAACGGUCUGGAAAGUCCGACGGUACAGGGUGAUAGUCCCGUACACCAAAAUGCACAGGUUGUGAACUCGAAGAGUAGGGCGGGACACGUGGUAUCCUGUCUGAAUAUGGGGGGACCAUCCUCCAAGGCUAAAUACUCCUGACUGACCGAUAGUGAACCAGUACCGUGAGGGAAAGGCGAAAAGAACCCCGGCGAGGGGAGUGAAAAAGAACCUGAAACCGUGUACGUACAAGCAGUGGGAGCACCUUCGGGUGUGACUGCGUACCUUUUGUAUAAUGGGUCAGCGACUUAUAUUCUGUAGCAAGGUUAACCGUAUAGGGGAGCCGCAGGGAAACCGAGUCUUAACUGGGCGUUAAGUUGCAGGGUAUAGACCCGAAACCCGGUGAUCUAGCCAUGGGCAGGUUGAAGGUUGGGUAACACUAACUGGAGGACCGAACCGACUAAUGUUGAAAAAUUAGCGGAUGACUUGUGGCUGGGGGUGAAAGGCCAAUCAAACCGGGAGAUAGCUGGUUCUCCCCGAAAGCUAUUUAGGUAGCGCCUCGUGAACUCAUCUUCGGGGGUAGAGCACUGUUUCGGCUAGGGGGUCAUCCCGACUUACCAACCCGAUGCAAACUACGAAUACCGAAGAAUGUUAUCACGGGAGACACACGGCGGGUGCUAACGUCCGUCGUGAAGAGGGAAACAACCCAGACCGCCAGCUAAGGUCCCAAAGUCAUGGUUAAGUGGGAAACGAUGUGGGAAGGCACAGACAGCCAGGAUGUUGGCUUAGAAGCAGCCAUCAUUUAAAGAAAGCGUAAUAGCUCACUGGUCGAGUCGGCCUGCGCGGAAGAUGUAACGGGGCUAAACCAUGCACCGAAGCUGCGGCAGCGACACUAUGUGUUGUUGGGUAGGGGAGCGUUCUGUAAGCCUGCGAAGGUGUGCUGUGAGGGUUGCUGGAGGUAUCAGAAGUGCGAAUGCUGACAUAAGUAACGAUAAAGCGGGUGAAAAGCCCGCUCGCCGGAAGACCAAGGGUUCCUGUCCAACGUUAAUCGGGGCAGGGUGAGUCGACCCCUAAGGCGAGGCCGAAAGGCGUAGUCGAUGGGAAACAGGUUAAUAUUCCUGUACUUGGUGUUACUGCGAAGGGGGGACGGAGAAGGCUAUGUUAGCCGGGCGACGGUUGUCCCGGUUUAAGCAUGUAGGCUGGUUGUCCAGGCAAAUCCGGAUAAUCAAGGCUGAGGUGUGAUGACGAGGCACUACGGUGCUGAAGUAACAAAUGCCCUGCUUCCAGGAAAAGCCUCUAAGCAUCAGGUAACAUUAAAUCGUACCCCAAACCGACACAGGUGGUCAGGUAGAGAAUACCAAGGCGCUUGAGAGAACUCGGGUGAAGGAACUAGGCAAAAUGGUGCCGUAACUUCGGGAGAAGGCACGCUGGUGUGUAGGUGAAGCCCCUGCGGGUGGAGCUGAGACCAGUCGAAGAUACCAGCUGGCUGCAACUGUUUAUUAAAAACACAGCACUGUGCAAACACGAAAGUGGACGUAUACGGUGUGACGCCUGCCCGGUGCCGGAAGGUUAAUUGAUGGGGUUAUCCGUAAGGAGAAGCUCUUGAUCGAAGCCCCGGUAAACGGCGGCCGUAACUAUAACGGUCCUAAGGUAGCGAAAUUCCUUGUCGGGUAAGUUCCGACCUGCACGAAUGGCGUAAUGAUGGCCAGGCUGUCUCCACCCGAGACUCAGUGAAAUUGAACUCGCUGUGAAGAUGCAGUGUACCCGCGGCAAGACGGAAAGACCCCGUGAACCUUUACUAUAGCUUGACACUGAACAUUGAGCCUUGAUGUGUAGGAUAGGUGGGAGGCUUUGAAGCGUGGACGCCAGUCUGCGUGGAGCCAACCUUGAAAUACCACCCUUUAAUGUUUGAUGUUCUAACGUUGGCCCCUUACCGGGGUUGCGGACAGUGUCUGGUGGGUAGUUUGACUGGGGCGGUCUCCUCCUAAAGCGUAACGGAGGAGCACGAAGGUUAGCUAAUCCUGGUCGGACAUCAGGAGGUUAGUGCAAUGGCAUAAGCUAGCUUGACUGCGAGCGUGACGGCGCGAGCAGGUGCGAAAGCAGGUCAUAGUGAUCCGGUGGUUCUGAAUGGAAGGGCCAUCGCUCAACGGAUAAAAGGUACUCCGGGGAUAACAGGCUGAUACCGCCCAAGAGUUCAUAUCGACGGCGGUGUUUGGCACCUCGAUGUCGGCUCAUCACAUCCUGGGGCUGAAGUAGGUCCCAAGGGUAUGGCUGUUCGCCAUUUAAAGUGGUACGCGAGCUGGGUUUAGAACGUCGUGAGACAGUUCGGUCCCUAUCUGCCGUGGGCGCUGGAGAAUUGAGGGGGGCUGCUCCUAGUACGAGAGGACCGGAGUGGACGCAUCACUGGUGUUCGGGUUGUCAUGCCAAUGGCACUGCCCGGUAGCUAAAUGCGGAAGAGAUAAGUGCUGAAAGCAUCUAAGCACGAAACUUGCCCCGAGAUGAGUUCUCCCUGAGACUUUAAGUCUCCUGAAGGAACGUUGAAGACGACGACGUUGAUAGGCCGGGUGUGUAAGCGCAGCGAUGCGUUGAGCUAACCGGUACUAAUGAACCGUGAGGCUUAACCUU